CGCAUCUGUGCAUGCAGCAUAUCAAUAAGCGGAGGAAAAGUCAAUACCUACGCUUAGGAUGUUGACACACGCGCGUGCUCGAGCUCUAUAUAUGACUCUGUGCAUAUCAAUAAGCGGAGGAAAAGAAACUAACAAGGAUUCCCUUAGUAACGGCGAGUGAAGCGGGAAGAGCUCAAAUUUGAAAUCUUCAAGGUUUUACCUUGACGAAUUGUAGUUUAAAGAAGUGUUUUCUGUUGAAGUUUUGGUAAAAGUUCUUUGGAAUAGGACAUCAUAGAGGGUGAGAAUCCCGUAUUUGACCAUUAUUUUCAGCUGUGUGAUACACUUUCAAAGAGUCGGAUUGUUUGGGAAUGCAGUCCAAAAUGGGUGGUAAAUUUCAUCUAAAGCUAAAUAUUGGCGAGAGACCGAUAGCGAACAAGUACCGUGAGGGAAAGAUGAAAAGAACUUUGAAAAGAGAGUUAAACAGUACGUGAAAUUGUCAAAAGGGAAGCGUUUGACACCAGUGUUGUUUUCUCGAAAAUCAAUUAAAAAGAGUUAGAUUUUGUUGUGUAUUGACCUUAACAGCUUGCAUUUCAAUUUUCUUGCUUGUUUUAAUGCACUUUUCGUUUAACAAGUCAACAUCAGUUUCUUUUGUUGUAAAAAGGUCAUUGGAAGGUGGCUUUCUUUUCGGAGAAAGUGUUUAUAGCCUUUGACUCCUGCAAUCGGAGAGACUGAGGUCUGCAGCGUAGAUCCUUCGGGGUUAGAUACAUUUGUGCUAAGUUAUAGCUUUUUAUAGACAACUUGUUGACUAUGAUUAGUCUUGUAGCUUACUCGCUUAUGCUAUUUUACCUACGCUUAGGAUGUUGACACACGCACGUGCUCG
RNAcentral lists this ribosomal RNA (859 nucleotides) under uncultured Neocallimastigales. Its description in RNAcentral is "partial large subunit ribosomal RNA". It matches the Rfam family "Eukaryotic large subunit ribosomal RNA", at positions 1 to 646 of the family's 3401-position model. The record is from RNAcentral. Lineage: Eukaryota; Fungi; Neocallimastigomycota; Neocallimastigomycetes; Neocallimastigales.